GCCGAACCGAGCGAACGUUGUUCGGAAUCACUGGGCUUAAAGGGCGCGUAGGCGGGCUGUCAAGUCGGGGGUGAAAUCCCACGGCUCAACCGUGGAACUGCCUCAGAUACUGACGGCCUCGAGGGAGGUAGGGGCGAGCGGAACGGGUGGUGGAGCGGUGAAAUGCGUUGAUAUCACUCGGAACUCCGGUGGCGAAAGCGGCUCGCUGGACCUUUUCUGACGCUGAGGCGCGAAAGCUAGGGGAGAAAACGGG
Molecule: ribosomal RNA, 253 nt
Filed under: uncultured bacterium
Lineage: Bacteria
Description: partial 16S ribosomal RNA
Rfam family: Bacterial small subunit ribosomal RNA
Source: RNAcentral